RNAcentral lists this ribosomal RNA (462 nucleotides) under uncultured bacterium. RNAcentral describes it as "bacterial SSU rRNA". It matches the Rfam family "Bacterial small subunit ribosomal RNA", at positions 28 to 507 of the family's 1533-position model. The record is from RNAcentral.
GACGAACGCUGGCGGCGUGCCUAACACAUGCAAGUCGAGCGAGGAGAGUUCCUUCGGGAACAACCUAGCGGCGGACGGGUGAGUAACACGUGGGCAACCUGCCUUGUAGAGGGAAUAGCCUUCCGAAAGGAAGAUUAAUACCGCAUAACAUUACAGUUUCGCAUGAAACAGUAAUUAAAGGAGUAAUCCGCUACAAGAUGGGCCCGCGGCGCAUUAGCUAGUUGGUGAGGUAACGGCUCACCAAGGCGACGAUGCGUAGCCGACCUGAGAGGGUGAUCGGCCACAUUGGGACUGAGACACGGCCCAGACUCCUACGGGAGGCAGCAGUGGGGAAUAUUGCACAAUGGGGGAAACCCUGAUGCAGCAACGCCGCGUGAGUGAUGAAGGUUUUCGGAUCGUAAAGCUCUGUCUUCGGGGACGAUAAUGACGGUACCCGAGGAGGAAGCCACGGCUAACUACGUG